GGUCCCCACCAAGGCAGCGUUGAAAUACUACGCCGACGUGGGGGAGGGCUCAUCUCAGGGUGUUGCUGUGCCUUCCACUUCCGGUGCCGGGCAUCGGUCCUCUCGAGUUAGGCACAUUGCGGUGCCGCUCGGGGCCGAUGUUCCGGGGACGA
Molecule: non-coding RNA, 152 nt
Filed under: unclassified sequences
Description: cold-seep-1 RNA
Rfam family: cold-seep-1 RNA
About the family: Environmental, Norwegian cold seep. Environment (Cold seep)
Source: Rfam by way of RNAcentral